RNAcentral lists this ribosomal RNA (490 nucleotides) under uncultured bacterium. RNAcentral's name for it is "partial 16S ribosomal RNA". It matches the Rfam family "Bacterial small subunit ribosomal RNA", at positions 28 to 507 of the family's 1533-position model. The record is from RNAcentral.
GAUGAACGCUAGCUACAGGCUUAACACAUGCAAGUCGAGGGGCAGCGGGAUUGAAGCUUGCUUCAAUUGCCGGCGACCGGCGCACGGGUGAGUAACGCGUAUCCAACCUUCCGUACACUCAGGGAUAGCCUUUCGAAAGAAAGAUUAAUACCUGAUGGUAUGAUGAGAUUGCAUGAUAUCAUCAUUAAAGAUUUAUCGGUGUACGAUGGGGAUGCGUUCCAUUAGGUAGUAGGCGGGGUAACGGCCCACCUAGCCAACGAUGGAUAGGGGUUCUGAGAGGAAGGUCCACCACAUUGGAACUGAGACACGGUCCAAACUCCUACGGGAGGCAGCAGUGAGGAAUAUUGGUCAAUGGACGAGAGUCUGAACCAGCCAAGUAGCGUGAAGGAUGAAGGUCCUACGGAUUGUAAACUUCCUUUAUAAGGGAAUAAACCCUCCCACGUGUGGGAGCUUGUAUGUACCUUAUGAAUAAGCAUCGGCUAACUCCGUG